UUAUCAUUUAUCUUUAUGACUUUGGUUUC
This 29-nucleotide non-coding RNA is filed under the name Rattus norvegicus (Norway rat). Lineage: Eukaryota; Metazoa; Chordata; Mammalia; Rodentia; Muridae. The record is from RNAcentral.